This 237-nucleotide long non-coding RNA is filed under the name Lathyrus oleraceus (garden pea). RNAcentral's name for it is "Pisum sativum (pea) long non-coding RNA (PSAT_LNC010740)". Lineage: Eukaryota; Viridiplantae; Streptophyta; Magnoliopsida; Fabales; Fabaceae. The record is from RNAcentral.
AAAAUUGUUCUACAACAGAUACCAAGAUUUUGAUGAUAACAAAGGACGAAACCAAAAAUGGCACUCUAACAAAAAGUUUCUAAGUGUGCAGGAAUCUAAACAAAAAGAAAGGAAUAACAAAAAUUGUUCUACAACAGAUACCAAGAUUUUGAUGAUAACAAAGGACGAAACCAAAAAUGGCACUCUAACAAAAAGUUUCUAAGUGUGCAGGAAUCUAAACAAAAAGAAAGGAAUCUG